GGGUUGUGAGGUUAAGCGACUAAGCGUACACGGUGGAUGCCCUGGCAGUCAGAGGCGAUGAAGGACGUGCUAAUCUGCGAUAAGCGUCGGUAAGGUGAUAUGAACCGUUAUAACCGGCGAUUUCCGAAUGGGGAAACCCAGUGUGAUUCGUCACACUAUCAUUAACUGAAUCCAUAGGUUAAUGAGGCGAACCGGGGGAACUGAAACAUCUAAGUACCCCGAGGAAAAGAAAUCAACCGAGAUUCCCCCAGUAGCGGCGAGCGAACGGGGAGCAGCCCAGAGCCUGAAUCAGUGUGUGUGUUAGUGGAAGCGUCUGGAAAGGCGCGCGAUACAGGGUGACAGCCCCGUACACAAAAAUGCACAUGCUGUGAGCUCGAUGAGUAGGGCGGGACACGUGGUAUCCUGUCUGAAUAUGGGGGGACCAUCCUCCAAGGCUAAAUACUCCUGACUGACCGAUAGUGAACCAGUACCGUGAGGGAAAGGCGAAAAGAACCCCGGCGAGGGGAGUGAAAAAGAACCUGAAACCGUGUACGUACAAGCAGUGGGAGCACGCUUCGGCGUGUGACUGCGUACCUUUUGUAUAAUGGGUCAGCGACUUAUAUUCUGUAGCAAGGUUAACCGAAUAGGGGAGCCGAAGGGAAACCGAGUCUUAACUGGGCGUUAAGUUGCAGGGUAUAGACCCGAAACCCGGUGAUCUAGCCAUGGGCAGGUUGAAGGUUGGGUAACACUAACUGGAGGACCGAACCGACUAAUGUUGAAAAAUUAGCGGAUGACUUGUGGCUGGGGGUGAAAGGCCAAUCAAACCGGGAGAUAGCUGGUUCUCCCCGAAAGCUAUUUAGGUAGCGCCUCGUGAAUUCAUCUCCGGGGGUAGAGCACUGUUUCGGCAAGGGGGUCAUCCCGACUUACCAACCCGAUGCAAACUGCGAAUACCGGAGAAUGUUAUCACGGGAGACACACGGCGGGUGCUAACGUCCGUCGUGAAGAGGGAAACAACCCAGACCGCCAGCUAAGGUCCCAAAGUCAUGGUUAAGUGGGAAACGAUGUGGGAAGGCCCAGACAGCCAGGAUGUUGGCUUAGAAGCAGCCAUCAUUUAAAGAAAGCGUAAUAGCUCACUGGUCGAGUCGGCCUGCGCGGAAGAUGUAACGGGGCUAAACCAUGCACCGAAGCUGCGGCAGCGACGCUGAUGCGUUGUUGGGUAGGGGAGCGUUCUGUAAGCCUGUGAAGGUGUGCUGUGAGGCAUGCUGGAGGUAUCAGAAGUGCGAAUGCUGACAUAAGUAACGAUAAAGCGGGUGAAAAGCCCGCUCGCCGGAAGACCAAGGGUUCCUGUCCAACGUUAAUCGGGGCAGGGUGAGUCGACCCCUAAGGCGAGGCCGAAAGGCGUAGUCGAUGGGAAACAGGUUAAUAUUCCUGUACUUGGUGUUACUGCGAAGGGGGGACGGAGAAGGCUAUGUUGGCCGGGCGACGGUUGUCCCGGUUUAAGCGUGUAGGCUGGUUUUCCAGGCAAAUCCGGAAAAUCAAGGCUGAGGCGUGAUGACGAGGCACUACGGUGCUGAAGCAACAAAUGCCCUGCUUCCAGGAAAAGCCUCUAAGCAUCAGGUAACAUCAAAUCGUACCCCAAACCGACACAGGUGGUCAGGUAGAGAAUACCAAGGCGCUUGAGAGAACUCGGGUGAAGGAACUAGGCAAAAUGGUGCCGUAACUUCGGGAGAAGGCACGCUGAUAUGUAGGUGAAGUCCCUUGCGGAUGGAGCUGAAAUCAGUCGAAGAUACCAGCUGGCUGCAACUGUUUAUUAAAAACACAGCACUGUGCAAACACGAAAGUGGACGUAUACGGUGUGACGCCUGCCCGGUGCCGGAAGGUUAAUUGAUGGGGUCAGCGCAAGCGAAGCUCUUGAUCGAAGCCCCGGUAAACGGCGGCCGUAACUAUAACGGUCCUAAGGUAGCGAAAUUCCUUGUCGGGUAAGUUCCGACCUGCACGAAUGGCGUAAUGAUGGCCAGGCUGUCUCCACCCGAGACUCAGUGAAAUUGAACUCGCUGUGAAGAUGCAGUGUACCCGCGGCAAGACGGAAAGACCCCGUGAACCUUUACUAUAGCUUGACACUGAACAUUGAGCCUUGAUGUGUAGGAUAGGUGGGAGGCUUAGAAGUGUGGACGCCAGUCUGCAUGGAGCCGACCUUGAAAUACCACCCUUUAAUGUUUGAUGUUCUAACGUUGACCCGUAAUCCGGGUUGCGGACAGUGUCUGGUGGGUAGUUUGACUGGGGCGGUCUCCUCCUAAAGAGUAACGGAGGAGCACGAAGGUUGGCUAAUCCUGGUCGGACAUCAGGAGGUUAGUGCAAUGGCAUAAGCCAGCUUGACUGCGAGCGUGACGGCGCGAGCAGGUGCGAAAGCAGGUCAUAGUGAUCCGGUGGUUCUGAAUGGAAGGGCCAUCGCUCAACGGAUAAAAGGUACUCCGGGGAUAACAGGCUGAUACCGCCCAAGAGUUCAUAUCGACGGCGGUGUUUGGCACCUCGAUGUCGGCUCAUCACAUCCUGGGGCUGAAGUAGGUCCCAAGGGUAUGGCUGUUCGCCAUUUAAAGUGGUACGCGAGCUGGGUUUAGAACGUCGUGAGACAGUUCGGUCCCUAUCUGCCGUGGGCGCUGGAGAACUGAGGGGGGCUGCUCCUAGUACGAGAGGACCGGAGUGGACGCAUCACUGGUGUUCGGGUUGUCAUGCCAAUGGCACUGCCCGGUAGCUAAAUGCGGAAGAGAUAAGUGCUGAAAGCAUCUAAGCACGAAACUUGCCCCGAGAUGAGUUCUCCCUGACUCCUUGAGAGUCCUGAAGGAACGUUGAAGACGACGACGUUGAUAGGCCGGGUGUGUAAGCGCAGCGAUGCGUUGAGCUAACCGGUACUAAUGAACCGUGAGGCUUAACCUUACAACGCCGAAG
This 2925-nucleotide ribosomal RNA is filed under the name Escherichia coli. RNAcentral describes it as "23S ribosomal RNA". It matches the Rfam family "Bacterial large subunit ribosomal RNA". The record is from RNAcentral. Lineage: Bacteria; Pseudomonadati; Pseudomonadota; Gammaproteobacteria; Enterobacterales; Enterobacteriaceae.